This is a non-coding RNA of Podarcis muralis (Common wall lizard), 718 nucleotides long. Lineage: Eukaryota; Metazoa; Chordata; Lepidosauria; Squamata; Lacertidae. The record is from RefSeq and is a predicted model, not a curated record.
UCAGACUGUUGGCUCAAUCAGUUCAGUAUUAUCUAUACCAGAUUGCAGCUACUGUGCUUUCCAGAGGGGAUGGGAGCAGGGGUCAGUGCACAGGAAACAGAGCAGCAGGACCCAUCACCGGAGCCAGAGGGGUCCCUGUCUCCACAAACAGAGCAGGCUCUUAGGUGUAAGGAGCAGCAGCAGAGUCUGUCUUGGAGGCUGGGGCAAGCAAUAACCCACAGCCUAUCUCCCUAGCUAGCCAGGUGGAGCUCGCUAUGUGAUUCUUCAGCUGGAGUAGGCUUGGAACAGGUGAAGGUCACAUGCCUCAUUAAGCCCAGAUGCUGCAAUCAUUGAGGUGCUGUGUCUGCUCAACUAACUGCCUAUGUUGAUUCUCCAGGAUCUCUGUGGGACUUUGGGCAUGUGGACUGACCCUGGACUGGGAACUUGACAUACUGACUUCCCACCAGAGCAAAUCGGCCCAUUGCCCUCACACCCUGAAAGACGAUUCAAGACAGCUGACUAAAUGGGCUUGUAAGUAAAAAAUGAAUGAGUUGGAGCAUGUAACAGCAGCAUAUUUUGCAUUCCAACCCACAAAAUAUUCACUUCUCAAGAAGAAGGGUAAAGGUAAGCAUACCAUAUCAUGUCUUUAUGGGUGAUAUCCAACAAGGUCAGUCCACUUGGGCAAUGGAUUUUUGCUCAGGCAAAUGGGAUUUCUACUUCCUCUCCCCCUCCCCCAAGC